Panthera uncia (snow leopard) is the source of this 402-nucleotide long non-coding RNA. RefSeq lists it as uncharacterized. The transcript is spliced from 3 exons. The record is from RefSeq and is a predicted model, not a curated record. NCBI's taxonomy places the organism in Eukaryota, Metazoa, Chordata, Mammalia, Carnivora, Felidae.
ACCUGGACAGCUCGGGAUGGUCCCAGUGUCCCCUCACUAAGCCCCCACGCGCCUCCCAUUCCAGGGACGGAGCCGAAGCUGCUCGAUCCAAGACGCAAAGGCAGCCUGACUUCAUCUCAGCUGCCCGGCAGGAAGCGCUUUGCGGCUUGGGGCAGAGAAGAGGGGUGGCCAGUCCCUACUCCAGCAAUGUGUCGUUUCACCCCUGCCCGGCCUGCAGCCCACCCGGCCUUGGCUCUCCAGGGCGCGUGAGACACACGAAAACCCGGAACACGCCCAUAGAUUUCUCUGCAGCCGGGGACACGUGCACCAUAGACAGCUCUUUUGAAAGUCUGUUGGUGUCGGUGCAGAAAGUGUUUUCUAGUUUUAAAAGCGAUCCUGUGGCCUUGAAAUAAAAUUGACGAA